CCGCUAUACCUUGGUGGCUUUGCCUUAUGUGAGAGUCGUGCCUGGGAGAAUGUCCCUCCAGGGCCACACUGCGUGGGAUCUUCCUCCUCAACUCACAUCCUGAUCUUCCCCGCCUUCCUGCCAUCUCACCUGAGGGUCCAGAGAAGAUGGUGAGGCCAGGGGCAAGUGAGAGGGUUCUCACA
RNAcentral lists this long non-coding RNA (182 nucleotides) under Bos indicus x Bos taurus (hybrid cattle). RNAcentral describes it as "lncRNA (ENSBIXG00000010877.1)". Lineage: Eukaryota; Metazoa; Chordata; Mammalia; Artiodactyla; Bovidae. The record is from RNAcentral.